AAUUGACACAACUACUAACUUAAUGCUACAGAUUCCAUUAUCGAAAAUUUUCAUGCUGGAUUAAUAUGUUAAAGAAAUUAUUAUUCCCAAAUGGGAUUUUAAUGUUUAAUAUAAACCUUUUCGAUAAACACCCAAGAUUUCAAUAAAUUAUGAACCAUAAAUACCAGGUCUACAGCACUACUAAUAUCACUUGCCGAUAGUAAUAUAAGUAAAAAGCCCACUAAUGCAUUUGACCUUACAAGUUUCAUUCAAACGCUAAAACGCUAAAGCAAAUAUUAAAAAAUGGUUUCAUCUAAUUCCUUCCUCGAUUAGCAUGUACUAAACGGUUAUCGUUCAUUAG
This 340-nucleotide unclassified non-coding RNA is filed under the name Hevea brasiliensis (rubber tree). The record is from RNAcentral. Lineage: Eukaryota; Viridiplantae; Streptophyta; Magnoliopsida; Malpighiales; Euphorbiaceae.